Molecule: ribosomal RNA, 468 nt
Filed under: uncultured bacterium
Lineage: Bacteria
Description: partial 16S ribosomal RNA
Rfam family: Bacterial small subunit ribosomal RNA
Source: RNAcentral
GACGAACGCUGGCGGCGUGCUUAACACAUGCAAGUCGAACGGAAAGGCCCUGCUUUUGUGGGGUGCUCGAGUGGCGAACGGGUGAGUAACACGUGAGUAACCUGCCCUUGACUUUGGGAUAACUUCAGGAAACUGGGGCUAAUACCGGAUAGGAGCUCCUGCUGCAUGGUGGUUGUUGGAAAGUUUCGGCGGUUGGGGAUGGACUCGCGGCUUAUCAGGUUGUUGGUGGGGUAGUGGCUUACCAAGGCUUUGACGGGUAGCCGGCCUGAGAGGGUGACAGGCAACAUUGGGACUGAGGUACGGCCCAGACUCCAACGGGAGGCAGCAGUGGGGAAUAUUGCACGAGGGGCGGAACCCUGAUGCAGAAACGCCGCGGCCGGAAAGACGGCCUUCGGGUCGUAAACCGCUUUCGACUGUGACGAAGCGUGAGUGACGGUAAUGGGUAAAGAAGCACCGGCUAACUACGUG